UUUCAAAGUCGUGUUCAAACGGACUUGAUUAGAAAGUCCGGAUCUUUUUUAAAACGGGGGCCACAUUUUUCAUUAAUGUUUUACGUAGUGUUUUUGGUACCGAAAGACUUUCAAACUUCGUAUACUUAUCUAUUUUGUGUUAUAGAACAGAAAAAUAUUUUUGUAUUCGAAUUUAUUUCAUGUAAAAAAUUGUCUUAUUUCGAUAAUUUCAACCAAUCACUGACGUCCACUCAGCCGAUAUACAUUAAGUGCCGACUACAUAAACAAACGAUUCUUCGUUUUAUUUGCUUUUUUCAUUUUAAAUUUGCUUUAACCCUAAGCCUAACCCUAACCCUAACUCUAACCCUAGGGUUAGGGUUAGGGUUAAUUGUUUCAGAAUCGUUUGUUUAUGUAGUCGGCACUUAAUGUAUAUCGGCUGAAUGGACGUCAGUGAUUGGUUGAAAUUACAGAAAUACGACAACUUUAACAUGGAAUAAUUUAUGGAUUUCUUUUUUUUUUAAGAAGACUAAGAGAAAAAGAUGUUUUAUAUGACACAUUCUACCAGUGUUCCAAGUUUCAAAGUGUUUCGUUAAUGGAAAAUGUGGCCCCCGUUUUAAAAAAGAUCCGAAAGUCCUUCUAGGCGUGUGCAAGGCAUUCUAUUUAUUUAUCUAUAUAUAUUCAGAUAUUCUCUGUUGUGAAAACAGAAGGGUGUUACUUCAUAAAGUUUCGGCUGUUAACUGUAGCAGUCGUAUAGUGACCAACCACCGACGUUUCCUUCUUCGUUUUGUCUUUUCGUUUUUCUUGUAUAUCAUACUGAAUUUAUAAUGUUGUUGCACCACAGCUGCCACUUCAGGUGUUGACAGUUUAUUUAAAUCUUUAAUCACAUACCUAGCUCUAUCGGGUAUAAGUGCAUUAUUUGUUCAGAGGUUGCUAUUAUUUUUGAUAAAUUUAGGACAAGGCUGCCUCCCAUUCAUGUAUGAUUCACUUUCUACUAUAUUCAUAAUUUGUGUUUUUAUUUUCUGAAUUCUGUCUGCCUGCCUGUAGCAUCGAUUUACAUUUGUGUAUGGGACUAGAUAUGUAUACGAGGGUGGGAUAGAAGUUCAUAGAUUGACGAUGAAGGGAGUGAUUCAUGAGCUGUGAAAUCUGGCAGUGAGCUAUCUGCUUCUCGCUGGUAUUUGAGAUGUUUGGAAGGACUGGGCCACCAACCAUGUAGUUCUUGUCAUCAUUGGCUGUUUGCCUCACCCAAGUGUCAGGUGAUGCCCAUGAAGGCGCUUGGUUUUCCCAAUGCCUUAGCCUCGCCAUCGGCGGCUUCCUUCAAUAGAUUCCAUCGGACCUUGUGGUGUGCGACCAAUUGAAGCACUUGGUGCUGCAUUAAUAUUUUUUUUUUUUACCUCUUUUGUAAAAUCUGUUAGAAAAAAAAAUUAAUAAUCCUUCAGUAUGUGGUGAUUAAAAGAGAAAAUAACAACUAGGAACUAUUCGAAGCUUAUUGACGGCAUGUACACUCUCACGAAGUGAUUGUACAUCAGGAGAACUUUAUAGACCCGACAACUAAGGACGUCCAUACAUAAAGAAAUAAAUAGUACAGGGGUUCUUAACCUGAGGGUUGUGACCCGUGGUGGUGGAGCGUUUGGGGUCUCUCGGAGGAUUUGGGAGAAAGUAAUUUAUUUGAUGUAUUUGAGGUAUUGCAUUGCAGCAUUCAAGUGUAAGAUUCAACUCUACCAGAAAAUAGUUCAGGACGGUGCCACAACCGUCUUCCUUCAGAUGACAACUAUCCUGGAUUCUAUGCCAGAAGCUGAAUGCAGUUUCCGUGAAGAGAUCUCAACUCAUCUUCUGGCAGUGAAUGAUGCCAUUGAAAGUUACUUCUCAUGAUUGGAUGACUGCUGUACUGAUGCGUGGACCUGCAGACCCUUCUCAGUGAAAGACAGUGGUACCAAUGAUACUGAUGUUGCUGCGAUGGUAGAAUUGUUUUUCAAAUUCGCGAGGGUACUCAGUUGAAAGUUGAUUUUUCUGAACAACAGCACCCAACAUUUUGGGCGAAACUGAAGGACACCUAUCCUCUUCUUUUGAUGCGUGAACUGACCAUGCUGAUUCAGUCCCCCCUCCCCCUCGAAUUAUCGCUGCGGGGCUGGAUUCUCAGCAAUGAUGACCCUAGUAGUGAAAUGCAGAAUUAGGUCGGCUGAUUGUGAGCAUCGAAUAUUGAUCACUUCGCUAAAAUCUGCAGGUGGUAUGAGUUAUUUCUCUUGGGUUGUUUAAAUAAAAUAAUAAUAUGCAGUAGAUGGAUCUAUUGGAAGGGCUCUAUCGUCGAUUUUUUCCAACAAUCUAAGUAUGUCACGAGGUUUCCAGACUUGGGUGCUACUCACGUGUCAAAUAAAGUAUAAAAGUGAUAUUGUCUGCAAAAAUUAGAAAUAGGACACACGAAAAAUCAAUAUUCAAAGUAAUCGAGCAUAAACAAUGUAAUGGGUUAUUUCCCUUGAGUGUUUUAGAAAAAAAAACUAUACAGGUGCUAUGGGUUAUUUCCCUUGGGUGUUAAAAAAUCAGUUAUUUGAGGUAGAUAUUAAGGUCACUUCCAGAGGCCGUAUUGACGAUUUUUUUCAACAAUCUAAAUAUGUCACGAGGUUUCCAGACAUGAGUUCUACUCACGUGUCAAGUUUCAUAAAAAUCAAUAAAACGAUGUAGGAGGAGUUAGCUAACAACGCCACAAACAAACACCGAUUUUCCACAUGCAUACUCUCUAACCAACUUGUUACAAAAUGGAUAUCAUUUAUAAUUGUUUUCAAACAGUUAAUUUAAUGUUUUUGAUAUGGAACAUGAAGUAGUUGUAUUUUAAGAAAUGUGUUUCAAUUAAAUUUUACUGGUAUAAAACAACGUUUGUAAUAUUGAAAAAAAAAAAACCCCCAAUUAUCUUGUAUCAGACAGUCUAGUGUAAUCGAGAGUAUGGCAAAAUGGUGACUGAAGAAGAUGGAAUUUCGCCUCAGUCGUGUGUAAAAGCUUCUGAAGAUCAAUUUAGUGGCUUUGAAAGUAAAGUAGUGACCACUGAUACUUUAGCAGGUGAAGAUUCUGGAGCUAAUUCGGUAACCACUUAGCGAAAAAAGAAGAAAAAUGAUUCUCAUGAAUCCCAGCCCCAAAGAAAAAAAAAAUUAAUAAUAAGAUAACCAGACUUACCGUUUCUUCAAAUAAGAAAGAAUACUUCCAGCACCUUCGUGUAAGAACAGCGUAGAGAGAUAAUCUAAAGGCUUGGACCUGUAAAUGGAGAGGUUGGAAGUGAGUGGAAUAACAUGGAGUAAAGGGUGGAGCAGAUCAAAGAGACAAAUGGGGACAGGUGAAAAAUUUGAAGCCAAUGGUGAUUUUAUUGAAUAAAUUUACUCUUUAGUAUUUCAAGAUAUUUUUAUGUAAUUUUGGUAAAUAUAUCUGUUAAAAUGA
Molecule: long non-coding RNA, 3399 nt
Organism: Octopus bimaculoides (California two-spot octopus)
Lineage: Eukaryota; Metazoa; Mollusca; Cephalopoda; Octopoda; Octopodidae
Source: RefSeq, a predicted model, not a curated record